GUAAAUGGAAGUAACAAUCGGCUGAACCAUGUCCACCUGCAGAAGGUUGUUUCUGAAGUGUUGCCUAAGCUCGAAUCUAGACAGUUAAAGGCAAGUGUGACAAUUUGAUGACCAUUUUCAUUAGACAUCUAUUUCAGUUUCUCUGUAGUUACAAAUAUAUGCCACAGAUUUAAGGUAUGAGGUUGAGAUGGCUGAUUCAAGAUGAGCUUGUAUAUCAACAGCUGAAUUACUUGGGAAAUAGCUAGUAACACUAGUUUAUUUGCUGAACCAUUUCUUAUAUUUAUUUUUUAGUAGUAGAAUGUUUUAUAUGUAUCACCUAUAAAUAUAUUAUUCUAUUUGGUUUAUGAUGGCACUGGAAUAUGAAUAUAUGAUCAUGUUUGUCUGUUUGUUCCUCCCUCUCUGUCUCCAUUAUUGUUUUUAAAAUGCUUAGUAUUUAUAAAGUAUUCUAAAAGUACAAUGAGAUGUCACACAUUUGAAUAAAAUAGUGACUUGUAAAUAGUUGUGUUGUGUUUUUAAUAUUAUUUGUCAUUUAUCCUUUUCUAAAAAUUGGGUUAACCAGAUAACAUUAUUACAAAUCAAAGAUUCAAGUAUCAAACUUGUAUCAUAUUCAGCUUCAAAAAAUAAAUAGUAAUUAUACUUGCAUUCAUUUUACAGAAGAGUUUCAUUUUGAUUUUUUAAAGUUAAUUUACAAAUUUAAAAUUGAAGUGAUUAAAAAACUAUUGAGAGUUUUGGCCAUCUUACCGGAUUCCCUCCAUUUGAUAGAGUUAUUGAGUGAAACAAACAAUAAAAUUUAAAUCUUUAUCAAGUGUAUAAUCAAAUUGCCUAUAAAACUUAAAUCCUUCAAUUUGAUAAGCCAGUCAGUAAACGUAAUUUUUUGUUUUCUACUUUAAUUUCCUAAAUACAUUUUAUGUUUAGGAAUUGGGAAUUAAUUUCCAAGUGAUCAAAAACAGGAUUCAAAUAGAUAACCGAACAAUUACUUUGUAAGAAGAAAGAAAGGACCUUUGACUUGAAGAUGAUUUUCAUAGCAACAGGAUGAUCCUUGAGCUCGCUUGUUCUACCCUUAGCUUUGAUGUGCUUGGCCGGCGACGACGGAGGGAACGGUCGCUUGAAAAAACUUUGUGGGGGUGUACCUUGCCGGAGACGGCGAACCUCCGAGCGGAAGCGGACUGUCACUGCCUCCUUGAGGAUACGGACUCGGCCAGAAAUUUGUUGCCGAGGAUCAAGUCGGAGUGUUAUUAAUGUUGACAGAGGAGGAGGGGAGCGGUGACUGCGGAACGAGAUCGCAGGCCCCGGGUGCGUACGAGAUCUAAAAAGAUCAGCGCUAGAGAGAAGAAAGAGAGGAGGAGAUCUACGGCGAGAAAAUGAUAAAUAAAGAGAAUGAGGUUGAGUCAGUCGUCAGUCAGAGAGGUAACAGAGAGGGAGGGAGGCGAGUAGAGAUCGAUAGCUAGGUUUUGGUUUUGUGAGCGAAAGAGAGCAGAGAAAGAUAUAUACAAACUAUGCUCAGCUCCAUGUUUUAAAAUUUUGCUCCGUGUUUUGUA
This 1538-nucleotide long non-coding RNA is filed under the name Panax ginseng (ginseng). RNAcentral describes it as "long non-coding RNA (PGIN_LNC006927)". The record is from RNAcentral. Lineage: Eukaryota; Viridiplantae; Streptophyta; Magnoliopsida; Apiales; Araliaceae.